UUUCCACCAAAACACCCUCCACAUGUAAAGCCACCUUUCCACCCCAAACCACCGCAUCACAAGCCACCCCAUGUCAAACCACCGCACAAGCCCCCGUAUGUUCCUAAACCACCUUAUUCCCCAAGCCCUAAACCGCCUUACGUGCCAAAACCACCUCAUACUCCAGUCCCUAGGCCACCAUAUUUCCCCAAACCACCUUACACACCAAGGCCUAAGCCACCAUAUGCGCCAAAACCACCUUAUACGCCAACCCCUAAGCCACCAUAUUUCCCCAAACCACCUUACACACCAAGGCCGAAGCCACCAUAUGUGCCAAAACCACCUUAUACGCCAGCCCCUAAGCCACCAUAUUUUCCCAAACCACCUUACACACCAAGGCCUAAGCCACCAUAUGCACCAAAACCACCUUAUACGCCAACACCUAAGCCACCAUAUUUCCCCAAACCACCUUACACACCAAGGCCUAAGCCACCGUACGUGCCAAAACCACCGUACACACCAAGGCCUAAGCCACCGUACGUGCCAAAACCACCAUACACACCAACCCCUAAGCCACCGUACGUGCCAAAACCACCUUACACCCCAACCCCUAAGCCACCGUACGUGCCAAAACCACCGUAUACCCCAACUCCUAAGCCACCGUACGUCCCAUCGCCACCUUAUACCCCUCGCCCUAAACCACCGUAUGUACCAUCACCACCUUAUACCCCUAGCCCUAAACCACCGUAUGUGCCAUCACCACCAUAUACCCCAAGCCCUACCCCACCAUAUGUACCAUCACCACCGUAUACCCCAAGCCCACCAUAUGUACCAUCACCACCGUAUACCCCAAGCCCUAGCCCACCACCACCACCAAGUGGAACACCGUGUCCUCCGCCGCCGCCACCAAAGGUGAGACCGUACCCUCCACCACCAUCACAAACUUGUCCCAUUGAUACUCUCAAGCUUGGUGCAUGCGUCGACGUGUUGGGCGGUCUAAUACACAUCGGUAUAGGCAGCAGUGCAAAGGACGCUUGCUGCCCCGUGCUGCAGGGGCUACUGGACUUGGAUG
This 1051-nucleotide long non-coding RNA is filed under the name Citrus maxima (pomelo). Its description in RNAcentral is "long non-coding RNA (CMAX_LNC002831)". Lineage: Eukaryota; Viridiplantae; Streptophyta; Magnoliopsida; Sapindales; Rutaceae. The record is from RNAcentral.